Molecule: ribosomal RNA, 186 nt
Filed under: uncultured bacterium
Lineage: Bacteria
Description: partial 16S ribosomal RNA
Rfam family: Bacterial small subunit ribosomal RNA
Source: RNAcentral
CCUAUAUGAAGUCGGAAUUGCUAGUAAUCGCGGAUCAGCAUGCCGCGGUGAAUACGCUCCCGGGCCUUGUACACACCGCCCGUCACACCAUGAGAGUCGAUAACACCCGAAGCCUGUAGUCUAACCGUAAGGGGGACGCAGUCGAAGGUGGGAUUGAUAAUUAGGGUGAAGUCGUAACAAGGUACC